GCAAGUCGAGGGGUAACAUUGUAGCUUGCUACAGAUGACGACCGGCGCACGGGUGCGUAACGCGUAUAGAACUUACCCUUUACAGAGGGAUAGCCUUUAGAAAUGAAGAUUAAUACCUCAUAGUAUUGCAACCAGGCAUCUGGUUAUAAUUAAAGAUUUAUCGGUGAAAGAUGGCUAUGCGUCCUAUUAGCUAGAUGGUAAGGUAACGGCUUACCAAGGCGAUGAUAGGUAGGGGGCCUGAGAGGAGGAUC
RNAcentral lists this ribosomal RNA (251 nucleotides) under uncultured bacterium. Its description in RNAcentral is "partial 16S ribosomal RNA". It matches the Rfam family "Bacterial small subunit ribosomal RNA", at positions 57 to 305 of the family's 1533-position model. The record is from RNAcentral.